GCCAAAGAUAUCAGAUUCAAACCAUUCAAUACCCAUUGCAAUCAAGCAAUUACCACAAACAUAUAACCCCCCCCCCCCUAUGUAUAAUCCCACCAUCCAUAUUUACUCGGGCGAUUCCGAAUAUAAGCCACCUCUAAUGUAAGCCCCUCGACAGGUAUUUAUUAGUGCAGCGAGGGCCAGGAAUCCAACAGCUCAGUCCAUCAAAAAUGCUUACAAAGUACAAAGAAAUAUAAGUUAGCCCAGGGCUUAUAUUCAGAGGUUUACAAUAUUCAUCUGGCCAAACAUACUGUAGUUCUAUAAAUCCCACAGUCAUUAGAGUUGUAGUUCUAAAAGUAUUUGUAGGAAUAAAAGGUGUACAGUACAUGUAUCAGCCACCUUGGCAUUGACCAAAAUUAUGCCCUGACAAUUAAACAAUUUUAAAUUGAUUGAUGACAUGUUUGAGAGCAGCUUCAGUGGUGGUGUCCCCAGUAUUGGAGUAGAGCCCAACAUUUCAGUUAGACAUUCCUUGUGAACCUUAGAUCAGUUGUGAUAUAUUGUAAUGUAAAAUGAAACUUUGGGAGUUAAGAAACACAAUUAAUGCAUUAAUGGACAAGGCUGUCCCCUUGAGAAGUAAAAUUGCCUGCCAUUAGAUGGUCUGAAAGUAAAAUAACAAGCUUGGGUGCAUGGCAGCCUAAUGGGUUAACUUAAUAGUUGGCUGCAAUUACCUGUUGUAGGCUUUAAAGUUGGUUUCAAACUAGGGCUUGUAAAUGCCAGAACUCAUAUGUGAAAAAUUGCACGAGUCAAUUUAUCUGACAUACCAUAAUGAACCAUUAGGUUGCAUUGCAUCCUACUUUAUUAUGUUACUUUGUCUAAGUGUCUAACACUGACAAUUUUACUCGUCAACAGGAGAGUGCUGGCACUCAAUGGGUUAACAUAUAAAUGUCUAUCUGAACAGUUGGGUUUGGGUUCUUCUCUAAAGUAAAUUUCCCUGUAGUCAGAUUGUGGGAUAUGUGACUCAAUAUUUCUUCAAAGUGUGUUCCAAUGAUAUGUAAUGUCACUAUUUUAUAAGCAUAAUGGACAUUUCUCAUUCAGGGUGAUGUAAGUCAUGUGGAAAAGAGAUUAAUACAAGUUUGAAUGUUCAAAUCGCAAGAGUAGUGGUGUAGUGUUACACUAGCACUUGCCAGACCUAAUUGGCAGAACUAACAAUGACUUUUCUCUAUAACUUUGUGGAUCAAAACCUGGAACAGCGAAAGAAUAGCCUAUGGAGCUACAAAGUUAUAAUAAUACUCUAUUACAUGUAACUUGAUUGUAUAGUUAGGUUUAAUAAUUAUUAAUUUAAAAUAAUACAAAAUUAAUCAAGAUUUUGCAUCUUUAAUUUUCAAACAUGUUGCUUGGUACUCAGUUUCAAUAACAAUGUCAGUAGCAUGCAUUCAUUGUUGGAAAUUUCUGCGUCUCUAUUGUUUUGACAAUAUUGUCAUGACUAAUUUUGUUGUUUUGACUUUAUUUUGAUCAAGUCAGUCUGGUUAGUGUUUUAUAUAGCCACAAAAUAUCCUCCCAGUAUAACUGAGAUGUUGCUUGUUCAAGUGAGAUGUUGCCUUCUUCAAGUGAGAUCUCUCUGAGCCAGUCAGGUUGUCCAUACAAAUUGAAAGGAAUUUCCACUAUAAAAAUAUUAAAAUAACCACACAGUGAGGUCUCGCUUACUGGGCUAGCUGUCCGCAUUAACAGCCCAUAACCUCAGGGACAGAAAGAUGGCAGUACUAGAAACAAUUUAAAGGGGCAGCACUGUCACAGCGCUGAUUGGCUAAAAUAAACAACGCAAAGACAUGUUUAAAAUUAAUGCUACAUGAUUGGAAGAUGCAGCAGCCUUCAAUUUUUAAAACAAAGCAAGGAUGUCCUGCAUAACGAAGGGAUUAUAAAUAGUAUAUCGCAUUUCACUCCUAACUUGACUAAUUGUUGUCAGAAUUUUUUCAAGUUCGCGCAUAUUUUGGAUGCGCAGCAGAACCAUGACACUGCCCCUUUGAUAACUUAAUAUACACAUGCAACAAACUAUCAGAGAGGACAUAAACUACAAUCCUAGAUAUAAAACAUGCCUUCUCACUUCUCAGAUCAGCUUCCCCUAGCAGCUGAGCUCUGUCCUGCACCAGUCCACCACAAGCUCAUGAUGCCUAACAAAACCCUUGACUAAAUAUGUAAAACCUUAAUUCCCAAUUUAAUAUACUAGCACAUCAUAGUUUCAUCUCUUGAUAUACCUGUACUGUGCAAC
This 2242-nucleotide long non-coding RNA is filed under the name Paramuricea clavata. The record is from RNAcentral. Lineage: Eukaryota; Metazoa; Cnidaria; Anthozoa; Malacalcyonacea; Plexauridae.